AUUGAACGCUGGCGGCAGGCCUAACACAUGCAAGUCGAGCGGUAGCACAGAGAGCUUGCUCUCGGGUGACGAGCGGCGGACGGGUGAGUAAUGUCUGGGAAACUGCCUGAUGGAGGGGGAUAACUACUGGAAACGGUAGCUAAUACCGCAUAAUGUCGCAAGACCAAAGUGUGGGACCUUCGGGCCUCAUGCCAUCAGAUGUGCCCAGAUGGGAUUAGCUAGUAGGUGGGGUAACGGCUCACCUAGGCGACGAUCCCUAGCUGGUCUGAGAGGAUGACCAGCCACACUGGAACUGAGACACGGUCCAGACUCCUACGGGAGGCAGCAGUGGGGAAUAUUGCACAAUGGGCGCAAGCCUGAUGCAGCCAUGCCGCGUGUGUGAAGAAGGCCUUCGGGUUGUAAAGCACUUUCAGCGGGGAGGAAGGCGGUGAGGUUAAUAACCUCAUCGAUUGACGUUACCCGCAGAAGAAGCACCGGCUAACUCCGUGCCAGCCGCCGCCGUAA
RNAcentral lists this ribosomal RNA (504 nucleotides) under uncultured bacterium. RNAcentral describes it as "partial 16S ribosomal RNA". It matches the Rfam family "Bacterial small subunit ribosomal RNA", at positions 30 to 523 of the family's 1533-position model. The record is from RNAcentral.